UCCCUCUUACACACUUAGACCAAAGUCACCAAAUCCUUCGCACACUUACAGUCUGAGCUCCAUCGCACAACCAAACGCCUACGCAUGCCGUCACAGCCGCCUCCGCUGCCAGGAAAGCCUCCCCGUCGUCUUCGCUCCCACCACCGGAGUCGCCGUUUGCUCUUCGGCCUCUGUAGUUGAAGUUCGUCGGCCUGUUCUCCGAAGGUGUCGCACACUCGCACUGAACUACUGAAGGUCGAAACCCUCGUCCUAAACCCUUGAGUCGCCGUCUGCUUUCCGGCCUCCGCAGCAGAAGUCCGUCGCCCUGUUCUACGAAGCCGUCGCACUGAACUACUGAAGGCCAAAGCCGUCGCUGUGAGUGGCCGUCUGCUCUCCGGCCUCCGCAACCGCAAGCUGCACAGCGGCUAACUAUUGUGCUAAUGAAAGAGGACAUGGCCGGACAUAGAGAAGAGCAAAUGCAAGUAGUACUGCUAUGUUGGAGGUUUGGUUGAGAUGCAAUUUACUUUGGAUUUUUCCAACAUUUUUGGAAGUGGUUUUAUUAUAUACAAGUGACAUUACUACUGGGAAGUUGUCCCCAGAAUGCCUUCUUGAUUACUUGGACCUAUCAUCGGAGUAUACAGCUUCAGAAAUUGCUAAUAGAAUUGAGGCUGCAAUGCAUAUCUGGAGGCAGAAGCACAAAAAGAAGCAAUAAAAACCGAUAUGGAUUCCAUGAGGAUGGAUUAUAGGUUGUUAAAGAAGAGUUGCAGUCCUCUGGACAACUCAAAACACAUGGUACCUUUCGUUAGGAUGGUAUGAUCACUUUUCCAUUUUCAUAUCCAAGUUGGUAAAUUUAGUAAUUUCAUUAAAA
This is a long non-coding RNA of Ipomoea nil (Japanese morning glory), 847 nucleotides long. RefSeq lists it as uncharacterized. The transcript has 4 exons. The record is from RefSeq and is a predicted model, not a curated record. NCBI's taxonomy places the organism in Eukaryota, Viridiplantae, Streptophyta, Magnoliopsida, Solanales, Convolvulaceae.